GCUCAGGACGAACGCUGGCGGCGUGCCUAAUACAUGCAAGUAGAACGCUGAAGAGAGGAGCUUGCUCUUCUUGGAUGAGUUGCGAACGGGUGAGUAACGCGUAGGUAACCUGCCUUGUAGCGGGGGAUAACUAUUGGAAACGAUAGCUAAUACCGCAUAACAAUGGAUGACACAUGUCAUUUAUUUGAAAGGGGCAAUUGCUCCACUACAAGAUGGACCUGCGUUGUAUUAGCUAGUAGGUGAGGUAACGGCUCACCUAGGCGACGAUACAUAGCCGACCUGAGAGGGUGAUCGGCCACACUGGGACUGAGACACGGCCCAGACUCCUACGGGAGGCAGCAGUAGGGAAUCUUCGGCAAUGGGGGCAACCCUGACCGAGCAACGCCGCGUGAGUGAAGAAGGUUUUCGGAUCGUAAAGCUCUGUUGUAAGUCAAGAACGAGUGUGAGAGUGGAAAGUUCACACUGUGACGGUAGCUUACCAGAAAGGGACGGCUAACUACGUGCCAGCAGCCGCGGUAAUACGUAGGUCCCGAGCGUUGUCCGGAUUUAUUGGGCGUAAAGCGAGCGCAGGCGGUUUGAUAAGUCUGAAGUUAAAGGCUGUGGCUCAACCAUAGUUCGCUUUGGAAACUGUCAAACUUGAGUGCAGAAGGGGAGAGUGGAAUUCCAUGUGUAGCGGUGAAAUGCGUAGAUAUAUGGAGGAACACCGGUGGCGAAAGCGGCUCUCUGGUCUGUAACUGACGCUGAGGCUCGAAAGCGUGGGGAGCGAACAGGAUUAGAUACCCUGGUAGUCCACGCCGUAAACGAUGAGUGCUAGGUGUUGGAUCCUUUCCGGGAUUCAGUGCCGCAGCUAACGCAUUAAGCACUCCGCCUGGGGAGUACGACCGCAAGGUUGAAACUCAAAGGAAUUGACGGGGGCCCGCACAAGCGGUGGAGCAUGUGGUUUAAUUCGAAGCAACGCGAAGAACCUUACCAGGUCUUGACAUCCCGAUGCUAUUUCUAGAGAUAGAAAGUUACUUCGGUACAUCGGUGACAGGUGGUGCAUGGUUGUCGUCAGCUCGUGUCGUGAGAUGUUGGGUUAAGUCCCGCAACGAGCGCAACCCCUAUUGUUAGUUGCCAUCAUUCAGUUGGGCACUCUAGCGAGACUGCCGGUAAUAAACCGGAGGAAGGUGGGGAUGACGUCAAAUCAUCAUGCCCCUUAUGACCUGGGCUACACACGUGCUACAAUGGUUGGUACAACGAGUUGCGAGUCGGUGACGGCAAGCUAAUCUCUUAAAGCCAAUCUCAGUUCGGAUUGUAGGCUGCAACUCGCCUACAUGAAGUCGGAAUCGCUAGUAAUCGCGGAUCAGCACGCCGCGGUGAAUACGUUCCCGGGCCUUGUACACACCGCCCGUCACACCACGAGAGUUUGUAACACCCGAAGUCGGUGAGGUAACCUUUUGGAGCCAGCCGCCUAAGGUGGGAUAGAUGAUUGGGGUGAAGUCGUAACAAGGUAAC
RNAcentral lists this ribosomal RNA (1494 nucleotides) under Streptococcus salivarius. RNAcentral describes it as "bacterial SSU rRNA". It matches the Rfam family "Bacterial small subunit ribosomal RNA". The record is from RNAcentral. Lineage: Bacteria; Bacillati; Bacillota; Bacilli; Lactobacillales; Streptococcaceae.